AUUGAACGCUGGCGGCAGGCCUAACACAUGCAAGUCGAGCGGUAACAGAGAGUAGCUUGCUACUUUGCUGACGAGCGGCGGACGGGUGAGUAAUGCUUGGGAAUAUGCCUUUUGGUGGGGGACAACAGUUGGAAACGACUGCUAAUACCGCAUGAUGUCUACGGACCAAAGUGGGGGACCUUCGGGCCUCACGCCAAAAGAUUAGCCCAAGUGGGAUUAGCUAGUUGGUAAGGUAAUGGCUUACCAAGGCAACGAUCCCUAGCUGGUUUGAGAGGAUGAUCAGCCACACUGGGACUGAGACACGGCCCAG
RNAcentral lists this ribosomal RNA (310 nucleotides) under uncultured Pseudoalteromonas sp. Its description in RNAcentral is "bacterial SSU rRNA". It matches the Rfam family "Bacterial small subunit ribosomal RNA", at positions 30 to 334 of the family's 1533-position model. The record is from RNAcentral. Lineage: Bacteria; Pseudomonadati; Pseudomonadota; Gammaproteobacteria; Alteromonadales; Pseudoalteromonadaceae.